This 245-nucleotide ribosomal RNA is filed under the name uncultured Bacillota bacterium. RNAcentral's name for it is "uncultured Firmicutes bacterium partial 16S ribosomal RNA". It matches the Rfam family "Bacterial small subunit ribosomal RNA", at positions 201 to 432 of the family's 1533-position model. The record is from RNAcentral. Lineage: Bacteria; Bacillati; Bacillota.
CCCAUGGUUUUUAUGUCCCCCAAUUAUCGCUGAAAGAUGGCCUCGCGUCUGAUUAGCUAGUUGGUGAGGUAACCGCCCACCAAGGCGACGAUCAGUAGCCGGACUGAUACGUUGACCGGCCACAUUGGGACUGAGAUACGGCCCAGACUCCUACGGGAGGCAGCAUUUUUUUAAUAUUGGGCAAUGGGCGCAAGCCUGACCCACCAACGCCGCGUGAAGGAAGAAGGCUUUCGGGUUGUAAACUU